RNAcentral lists this ribosomal RNA (706 nucleotides) under Cora casanarensis. RNAcentral's name for it is "eukaryotic LSU rRNA". The stretch from base 267 to 420 matches the Rfam family "5.8S ribosomal RNA". Lineage: Eukaryota; Fungi; Basidiomycota; Agaricomycetes; Agaricales; Hygrophoraceae. The record is from RNAcentral.
GGAAGUAAAAGUCGUAACAAGGUUUCCGUAGGUGAACCUGCGGAAGGAUCAUUAACGAACCCUCGAGGGACACGGCUGCUGCUGGACUUCCUGGAAGUCAACGUGCACACGGGUCUCUCUUCUCGUUCAAACCAAUCUACCCCUAUCUGUGCACCCCUCGUGAGCCGAGAACCCUCUCGACUUAUGUCUUUUCCACAGUACAAUCCCACUCAUGAGUGAAUGAGCAGCCGUCCGAGCUUCGCCUCGGCGUUAGCCAGAACACACACAACUUUCAACAACGGAUCUCUUGGCUCUCGCAUCGAUGAAGAACGCAGCGAAAUGCGAUAAGUAAUGUGAAUUGCAGAAUUCAGUGAAUCAUCGAAUCUUUGAACGCACCUUGCGCCCCUUGGUACUCCGAGGGGCAUGCCUGUUUGAGUGUCAUCAGAUCAUCAACCCGAGGAGCUUUUCUGGCCUCAUCGGUGCUUUGGAGCUUGCGGUGUGCGGGAGGCUCUUGCGAGCCUCCGCUCCUCGCGGAAUACAUCAGCAGAUGUCCAACUUCGGACUGGCCCCUGACGUGAUAAACAUCUAUGUCUGGGGCCAGAGCCGUCUCUCUUGACUCUGCCUUGAGCUGUUGCGCGCCAUGCUUGGAGCGGCAACCCAGUGACGACUUUGACCUCAAAUCAGGUAGGAUUACCCGCUGAACUUAAGCAUAUCAAUAAGCGGAGGA